AAUGCCCCAUUUCUUCAGAAAAAAAAACCUUCAUCCAAACUGGGAAACACCCUCCGCGCACUUUCAAAACAGAGGCUCGAAAAAAAAGUAGAUAUGAAAUGCUCAAUAAAUGGCAGAGUGAGCAAAUAGCUUUAAAUUGUUCGCAAAAGUAAUUGAAUUCAUUUCUUUUUAAGAAACUAAAACAAGACAUGAAAAUAAACCGACUCCACGAAUUAUUGUCCAAGGUGGUGCGCAUUACACUUUGCGGUUUGAUACGCGGGAAGAACAACUUUUAGAAACAAUGAGCGAAGCUGCAAAUGAAGGAUAUAAAAUUUUAAAGG
Molecule: non-coding RNA, 320 nt
Organism: Paramuricea clavata
Lineage: Eukaryota; Metazoa; Cnidaria; Anthozoa; Malacalcyonacea; Plexauridae
Source: the annotation of a GenBank genome assembly